Molecule: ribosomal RNA, 275 nt
Filed under: uncultured bacterium
Lineage: Bacteria
Description: partial small subunit ribosomal RNA
Rfam family: Bacterial small subunit ribosomal RNA
Source: RNAcentral
AGAACGAACGCUGGCGGCGUGGAUAAGACAUGCAAGUCGAGCGAGAUUUUUCGUUGUAGCAAUACGAUGGAAAGUCUAGCGGCGAACGGGUGCUUAACACGUGGGCAACCUGCCAUGAAGUGGGGGAUAGCUCGCCGAAAGGCGAAUUAAUACCGCAUGUGAUUAGAGAGGACAUCCUUUCGAAAUUAAAGUCGGGGCAACCUGACGCUUCUUGUGGGGCCCGCGGCCUAUCAGCUAGUUGGUGGGGUAAAGGCCUACCAAGGCGACGACGGGUA